AUUGAACGCUGGCGGCAGGCCUAACACAUGCAAGUCGAGCGAGCGGCGGACGGGUGUGUAAUGUAUGGGGACUGCCCGAUAGAGGGGGAUAACUACUGGAAACGGUGGCUAAUACCGCAUACUAUCGGAUAACCCAUAUGGGAUUAGCUAGUAGGUGGGGUAAAGGCUCACCUAGGCGACGAGCUCUAGCUGGUCUGAGAGGAUGAUCGGCCACCCGGGGACUAAGAAACGGCCCAGCCUCCUCCGGAGCAAGCGGUGGGGAAUAUUGCACAAGGGGGGCAAGCCUGAUGCACCCAUGCCGGGGGUAUGAAGAGGGCCUUAGGGUUGUAAAGUACGUUCAGCGGGGAGGCGUUACCCGCAGAAGAAGCACCGGCUAAUUCCGUGCCACCAGCCGCGGUAAUC
Molecule: ribosomal RNA, 402 nt
Filed under: uncultured bacterium
Lineage: Bacteria
Description: partial 16S ribosomal RNA
Rfam family: Bacterial small subunit ribosomal RNA
Source: RNAcentral